This 543-nucleotide ribosomal RNA is filed under the name Triticum aestivum (bread wheat). RNAcentral describes it as "partial small subunit ribosomal RNA". The record is from RNAcentral. Lineage: Eukaryota; Viridiplantae; Streptophyta; Magnoliopsida; Poales; Poaceae.
AUGGAAAGUUGUUUGCCGUUUGGGGGAAAGGUUGUCGUAUUUGGUGGUGAUUUCAGGCAGGUCCUUCCUGUUGUGACACGUGGGACAAGAUCACAGUCUGAUCCUUGGUUCCCCAAAUACCUCCUAAGGACCUGCAAUGGAACGGAAGAGACAAUUGGAGAUGACUAUGUUCGUCUCCCUGAUGAUAUUGUGAUCGGCUAUACCGAGCAUGAAAAAGCUAUUAACACGCUCAUCAAAGAGGUCUUCCCAUUGUUGCAUGCCAAUGCUAGAUUGAGAGAAUACAUGAGCGUAUGUGCUAUUCUUUCGACCAAGAACGAUCAUGUCGAUGACCUGAAUGACAAGAUGAUCUCCAGGUUUCCAGGCGAAGAAAAGUUAUACCAUAACUGCCCGGUCAUUCUGCUCCAGAACCUCGACUCUCAUAAUGGCCUAUGCAAUGGGACACGGCUUAUGAUUAGAGCUUUCCAGGAUAAUGCAAUCGACGCUAAGAUUGUUGGUGGUCAGCAUGCUGGGAAGAGGGUGUUCAUACCUAGGAUCCCUAUGUGA